GGGGUGGGGCCAGAGGGGCAUUGGUCGGCCCCAGCUGAAGUCUGAUUGGCCCCCGAAGUUCCCCCGUCCUGUCAAUCAUCUCUUACUACGUCAGAGCACUCCAUCAGCUGACAGUUUGUUUGAAAUUCAAGUUGCUUAACUAUUUCUUUCUAUUACAUCUGGUAAUGGCAGGUUUACUGUAUAAGCAAUGCGUGUUUAUCAUCGUUGCUUCAAUGCAGGAAAAAGCGAGUGAGGCAUAUCUGAAGUUGGUGCGGGUGCUACGAGAGAGCCAAGAGACUACUGUCGGAUACAUCAAGUUCCCUCUGACUCCCAGUUGGCCCCAUUCUAUGCCUCAAAGUUGUUCGCUGUCUGUGCAUGCUGUGCUGAAGCAAGAUUCCUCCAUCCUCACCAUAAUCACAACACAAGCAUCUCCCUUUAAUUCUAUACUUCAAACAGAGCCUUCAGACAGCAUCACUGAUUUACAAAUUAGUUACAAUCACUGGUUUCACAUUGUUUUAUCAGGUAUUUUAAGAAGUCCCCUACAAUGUGGAGAACACGUGUACAACCUGUAACUUGUUCAGUUCAUUCUAAACCAACUUAUUCACCUCCCACAGUUAAAAUACAAGAGUUGGUGACAUAUCAGUUAAAAUCUCAAAUUAAGGUUAAGACUUUCUUAAAGACACAUCAAGAAAAUCUAUACUAUUUUGGUCACCAUCCAGGUUCUGUGCUUACAGGUAUUGAAAUGCUUAAUAAGGGGUGGGAAAUUCUUAAAAUAUAUCAUGGGGAAGUUGAAAUUUGGAAUACUUGAAUAGUUCCACUCAGAUUUAUUUUUUUGAAGAAAUUAAGGUGUCAGCAUCCGACCAGUUCUGUGUUAGGCUCUGAUGAUGAUAAGGGAAACACUUUCCAAACUUUGUUUACAUUAACUCAGAACACUCUGUUUUCAGGCUGCAAGGUUUUUAUUCCUCAUCCAGUUCGUGUCUCUACUGGCAUCGUGUGGGCAGGACAUGCUAUCUCAGCCUGUGAAACUUGUGCCUUGCUACACACAGAUGUUCUCUCAUUUAAUGUCACCACAUGCCAUAUGGUUACACGAGCAGUCACCACUCAAUGUUGUAUCCCAGGUUUCACAAUUUGUAACCAAACAUACCUUCCUCCUCAUAGGGUCACUGAUAUUAUUACUCUAUUUGCAUUUCUGUGGUGUGUAGAAAACCAUGAUUUUAUGCGGCUCCACCAUCUCUCUCUCAUCCUUCUCGGUCUCGAAUGCAAAUAAAGUUCACAGCUCUCUCAAUUGAGGAUCGUAUCUCUGAACCUGGUCCUUGGAUACACUGGUUAUCAAUCAAUCAAUGAAUACUGUCGUGUUCCAGCCCCUUUGGGUACUUAUUGGCUAUGUGGUAGCACUACCUAUAGUUAAUUGCUUGCCAGGUUCAACAGUCGAUGUUUGUUGAUUUAUCUUCUUCCUGCCAUGUGACCCCAAACUCAUCUCCAGCCCCAAGUAACCUGAUCUGUGUCUACAACUGUAAAACAUGCUCCUCAUAUCAUUGCCCUCCCACCGAUACCUCACACAUACUUUUAGCUGUUCCAAAUUUUUGUGGUCUUGUAAACAGUAAUAAGGUCGAGUGUAUCUGGUAAAAAAUGGUGAGUGUUAUACAUUUGUAGGUCGUUUAGGUUAUAGUCUGCCUACUAAUGCUAAUCUUUAUUCAAAUGGCACUUUAGAUCUCAUACCCACUAAUAGAGGAUAUCAAUCUUUCAUUGAUACCACAAAGAGACUUCAAGACAUCACAUUUUUUGCAGAUAUCGAUGCCACAUUUACCUUCAGUGUUAAUGGAGUAAUGUGUUCAGUGGGUUAUCAAAUCCAUACCCGUCAUUAUGACAAGAAACGUCCCCUUACAAUCUCGCAGUCAUCACUAACUGAUCCAAGAUUUGGAGCAGAUUUCUAGGUGCCCUUUUUCCUAAUUAUGGUGUUAUGAUUAGCCUUGAUCAAAUUCGUAUGUUAUCUCAUGAUGUCGAGAAAUUAGCUAGUGAUUCUGCACAAUCCUUAGGCAUCAUAUCCAACACAUUGCAAUCACAUCAGAUGAUGAUUUUGCACAAUCGGGUUGCUUUAGAUUAUAUCUUGGCACAAAAAGGAGUUACCCGUGCAGUGGUAGGUCCUGAGUGCUGUACGGAUGUGUCUGACCCUACUCUUAAUUUGAGGCAAUACAUUAUUGACCUAGGUGAGUUACGUGAUUGUGUUAUGUUAUAAUGUGUAUAAUGUCUACUGAUCAAGUUAACAGUGUUUGAUAAGGUGCCUGGCUAGGCUUCUGGUGGUGAUAUGGCUUGGAAAUUCUACUGGGUUUCCUGAUGUUCUUUGUCACCCUCCUGUUAAUUUAUGUCCUGUUUUGCUGUUGCUGCCUAUGUGUCUCUAAGAGCAUGAUCCAUGCCCAAGUAGCGGAAGCCACAGUUGUGUUUAAUGUCUACAUUUAAUCUGAUCUUAUGUUUAAUCUAACAUGCUUGGUAUGCAGAUAAAUGGGUGUGACCUAUCCUCCUUUUAGGAUCUGUAGAUGUAAAAUCACCUUGCCAGUGGUUACAGUACUUUUAAAAGGUAUAGUAGUAUAGUGUAAAAGGGUUAAGCUUGCUUUAAUGGAUGAUUUUAGUGUCAUCCAAAGAGGGGAAUUGUGAAAUAUUUUUCCUUAUUUUCCAUGAUUAUGAUUCAAUGAUUUAAGAUCAGAUCAGUGUGAUUUUUUUUUUUUUUUUUUUUUUUUUUUUUUUUUUGCUUACCCAUGGUCUCAUUAUGUUUUUGGGUUUCUGUCCUUGAUUUUGUCAAGGUGGUAUGUUUUUCUCUCAUGUUUUUCUCUUAUGUUAUUUUAACUAGCUUUGGGUAUGUUGCUUGCAUGUACAUAUUUACAUUUAUUCAUUUAGCAGACACUUUUAUCCAAAGUGACUUACAAAUAAGGAAAAAGUGUAAAAGCCAACUGUAUCUAAGUUAUGUUUAGACUUAAGAUUAAGACUACAAAAUGCUAUAGUGUCCAGGGUGUCUCUGCGCUUAAUAAACUGUCUCUUUGAUUAGA
This is a long non-coding RNA of Ictalurus punctatus (channel catfish), 3020 nucleotides long. RefSeq lists it as uncharacterized. The transcript is spliced from 2 exons. The record is from RefSeq and is a predicted model, not a curated record. Lineage: Eukaryota; Metazoa; Chordata; Actinopteri; Siluriformes; Ictaluridae.